GAUGAAGAACGCAGCGAAAUGCGAUAAGUAAUGUGAAUUGCAGAAUUCAGUGAAUCAUCGAAGCUUUGAACGCAUCUUGCGCUCCUUGGUAUUCUGAGGAGCAUGCCUGUUUGAGUGUCAUUAAAUUCUCAACUACACUGACUUUGAAUUGGUGUGGCUUGGAUUUGGGGGGAAAAUUGUUGUGGGCUUUUUGUAUAGUCUGCUCCCCUGAAAUUGAUUAGCGGUACCUUUGUGGAACUGUCUACAGGUGUGAUAAUUAUCUACAUCUUAGACAUCUGCUGGAAUGCUGCUUUCUAAACCUUACUUGUAUUGACAAUCUUGACCUCAAAUCAGGUAGGACUACCCGCUGAACUUAAGCAUAUCAAUAAGCGGAGGA
Molecule: unclassified non-coding RNA, 376 nt
Filed under: soil metagenome
Description: partial contains 5.8S ribosomal RNA, internal transcribed spacer 2, and large subunit ribosomal RNA
Rfam family: 5.8S ribosomal RNA (bases 1-120)
Source: RNAcentral